Molecule: long non-coding RNA, 492 nt
Organism: Cicer arietinum (chickpea)
Lineage: Eukaryota; Viridiplantae; Streptophyta; Magnoliopsida; Fabales; Fabaceae
Source: RefSeq, a predicted model, not a curated record
CAACAAAUACACUUUAAAAUUGUAAUUUUUUCUUAUUAUAUAGGACCGAAUUAUUCUACAGAAAAUCUCUUGGAAUUUUACAUUAUAAAGUGAUCACAAAAUUUUCUACUCUUCUUUGCAAAUGCAAAAACUAUGAGUAAAUUUCUCAAAUUGGUUUAUGCUAUAACUCUUCUUCAUUUCCUCUUUUUUGUUGUAACAAAUGGCCUUCGCUGUUAUUAUCCUCAAGUUAUGUGUUGCGAUCCGUAUGGGUGUUUCUGCAAUAUACCCAUGAGUCCCUUUUAAGGUUAAAAAUAAUGAUUUGUGCGUCGCACUUCUCUUUGAAAAGUUGAAAGCAUGCUAAUUGUAUUAUGCAUUUUUAUCCUUUAUUUGCUUUUAGAAUAAAAUGAAAACAUCGAAUAUCACUUCAUAAUUGCAAUUAGCUAUUGCAUUAAAAUAAUAACGGAGUUUUAAUAUUUAUAUAUAGAGUGUAAUGAAAUUGAAAUUUGUAAAAGA